UGUCAGUUAUACUUAUUUAUCAGCAUUUCUGAAAAUUUUGUAGUAAGAUGCGAAAUAAAGUAUAUGUAAACAACAAGAAAAGGACAAAAAUAAAAGCAAUAUACAGCUGAACAAUUAAAGAAUAAUCUAUUGGAGUCAUCACCAAGUUUUUGAAUUUACUCAACAUGAGUACAGAAAUGAGCUGUGUAUUCUGGAGUACAGUGAUGGCAGUAGUCACACUAAGAGUAAAUUCUUGAACCAAAAUAAUCCCUACUGUGAUACUGUGGAGUUUAAUUAUUCUAAGUGUAAGUAGCCCAGAAUACUUAGCAUUUGCUAUAUGUUUGUUUAUGAUGGCUAUAU
This 339-nucleotide long non-coding RNA is filed under the name Dromaius novaehollandiae (emu). RNAcentral describes it as "lncRNA (ENSDNVG00000001471.1)". Lineage: Eukaryota; Metazoa; Chordata; Aves; Casuariiformes; Dromaiidae. The record is from RNAcentral.